RNAcentral lists this non-coding RNA (131 nucleotides) under Alloactinosynnema sp. L-07. Its description in RNAcentral is "SAM riboswitch aptamer (S box leader)". It matches the Rfam family "SAM riboswitch aptamer (S box leader)". From Rfam's summary of the family: The SAM riboswitch is found upstream of a number of genes which code for proteins involved in methionine or cysteine biosynthesis in Gram-positive bacteria. The SAM riboswitch acts at the level of transcription termination control. RNAcentral also lists the same sequence under 1 other name. Lineage: Bacteria; Bacillati; Actinomycetota; Actinomycetes; Pseudonocardiales; Pseudonocardiaceae. The record is from Rfam by way of RNAcentral.
CGCUCAUCCAGAGGGGCAGAGGGAACGGCCCGACGAAGCCCCGGCAACCGGCGUGAGCGCAUGUCCUCUUCGCGAGGCGCAUGUGCGCGAUCACGGUGCCAAUUCCGACCCGCUCGCGGGACAGAUGAGGA